UUAACAAAAUCAAACCUAAUUAAACUUUAAACAAUCCUAAUUAAUUCUAAUUAAGCGCAUUUAUUCAGUUAGUUAAUAAAAGGUGAAAGGGAAAUUAGGGUUGAGAAAUGUUGUGACUCUUCAGAUUUCAGGACCUCACACUCUCUCCCUCUUUCGCUCCAACACGACGGCGCCGGAGCUACUCCGACCAAAACUUACAGCGCCGCCGUGAAUCCUUCUGAUCACCACUACAACCUCCUCUUCUAAUUCCUAAUUCUAAUUUCUCCGUUCAAAAUUCAAUAAAUCCCUAAUCGAAGCGUUUAGAAGAACCCUAGGCAUUAAGCGUCUCAAGCUCCUAAUUUCGACAUCACAUAAUUCGGCGCACGAAGAAUAAUGGAGAUUCGAAGACACACCUGAAAUGACGAUCGGUUGCUGAGAGCGGAGAAAACCGGAGAAGAGAUUUCGAGCGAUAUGGAUGCCAAAACAGAGAUAAACGCGAGCAAAUGGAAGAAAAUCCAGAGUAACCGAUUCUGCAAGUGUGCCUUGAAGACAAUGAAGGUUGAAAGCUGAGGUGAAGAACAUGUUUCUUGCGGAUCGAAGCGUGAAGUACGUUGAUGAAGUUUCAGAAUGAACUUUGGAGGUGGUUGAAGGUGAGUUCUUUUCUUCUUUCAAUCCUCUCUUUCUGUGAGUUUCUGUUACGCCAAUGAUUGAAGAAAGGAGCGAAUUCUCUUUACAGGAUUCAAUUGAAGAUUGAUGUUGGUUGAUGAGAUUGUGAAGGGUGAGGGUUGAUGAAGGUGAGAGUAAUGGAGAGAUUGGAGAAAUCGAUUCUGAACAAAGGUGAGUAAUGGUGAAGAUGAUGAAAUGUUCAGAAGUGGUGAAGAGAGAUUCAGAGAGUGUGAAUUGGUGAAAGGUGAAGGUUGUUCAGUUAUAUAGAGAUGGAGGUUUGAGAAUUCAGUUAGAGGAGAGCGUUUUCAGCCAUUGGAUUGAGAUUUGGUUUGGGAGAUUGAAGGGGUGAGAUUGAGAGUUGGUUAUGAGGGUUAGAAGUUGGCUACAAUUCUGUUUUGGUGGUUGGGAAGUUGGUUAGGGGCAGUUAGCUUUCUGUUAUAUUUUGAGAAUUGGUUAAAAGUUUGUUGAGAGUUAGUUACUAGGUGUGACAAGUUAGUUAUGCUGGUUAAUAGGGUUGUAAGGGUGAUGUUUUAUUGGCUGUUAGAGACUGUUUUGCAGCUGCAGUAGGUUAUGGAUUUCUGUUUGGUAAUAUUUGGAAUUGGUUUUGGAUAUGGUGAGAUUGAAUGUAUGCAGCUGACUUCAAUUAUGAAUUGUGGCACGUUAUUUUGGAAGCUUUGCAAACCUUUGGGUAUGUUUCAAGUCAUGAAGGCAUUAUGGAGAAAAUUUUGGCAAAUGAUGAAGAAACAGCGAACCUGGUUGAAGAUGAUAGGUCUAGGUCAUUGUUGGGUUUGAGUCAAAGUUGGUCAACGGUUUGACUUGGUCAACAGAUGACCAAAAGUCAAAGUUGUUUUUUUUGUAAUUUUCUUGACUUCGUUUUGUAGAUAGCGGUGGACUCUUGAUCUUUAUAAUUAAAUCUGAUCUUGGUUUGAAUAAUGGAAUGUUGACUUUUUCAAGUAAUGGACUCAUUUCCCUCAUUUAGAUUUAAAUUUCUUAUUAUCUUGAAUGAAUAUCAUGAAUGAAAUUUUCAAUAUGACCUUUGAUCCAAACUUGAAUAACAAGGGCAAUCUUACAAUCUCAAUGAAAUAUUGGCUUCAGUCCAAACCUUUUUCCAACCACACUUGCUAACCGCAUCUUUGCACCUUGACCUACAUUUUGCAGAUUAAUCUAUAAAUCUUCUUUUGCCUUGACAAAGUUCCUCAUUGAAGAUAAUAUUUGAAGCAUAAAGGAAAUCCUUGUCUUGAAGUACACAUAACCAUGAACCCAGACCCUACUUCCAUAAUUCAACGCUUUAAGGAGUGCUGACGAAUCAGUGUUAUUUGA
Vicia villosa (hairy vetch) is the source of this 1965-nucleotide long non-coding RNA. RefSeq lists it as uncharacterized. The transcript is spliced from 4 exons. The record is from RefSeq and is a predicted model, not a curated record. Lineage: Eukaryota; Viridiplantae; Streptophyta; Magnoliopsida; Fabales; Fabaceae.